Molecule: ribosomal RNA, 1343 nt
Filed under: uncultured bacterium
Lineage: Bacteria
Description: 16S ribosomal RNA
Rfam family: Bacterial small subunit ribosomal RNA
Source: RNAcentral
GACGAACGCUGGCGGCGUGCUUAACACAUGCAAGUCGAACGGAAAGGCCCUGCUUUUGUGGGGUGCUCGAGUGGCGAACGGGUGAGUAACACGUGAGUAACCUGCCCUUGACUUUGGGAUAACUUCAGGAAACUGGGGCUAAUACCGGAUAGGAGCUCCUGCUGCAUGGUGGGGGUUGGAAAGUUUCGGCGGUUGGGGAUGGACUCGCGGCUUAUCAGCUUGUUGGUGGGGUAGUGGCUUACCAAGGCUUUGACGGGUAGCCGGCCUGAGAGGGUGACCGGCCACAUUGGGACUGAGAUACGGCCCAGACUCCUACGGGAGGCAGCAGUGGGGAAUAUUGCACAAUGGGCGGAAGCCUGAUGCAGCAACGCCGCGUGCGGGAUGACGGCCUUCGGGUUGUAAACCGCUUUCGCCUGUGACGAAGCGUGAGUGACGGUAAUGGGUAAAGAAGCACCGGCUAACUACGUGCCAGCAGCCGCGGUGAUACGUAGGGUGCGAGCGUUGUCCGGAUUUAUUGGGCGUAAAGGGCUCGUAGGUGGUUGAUCGCGUCGGAAGUGUAAUCUUGGGGCUUAACCCUGAGCGUGCUUUCGAUACGGGUUGACUUGAGGAAGGUAGGGGAGAAUGGAAUUCCUGGUGGAGCGGUGGAAUGCGCAGAUAUCAGGAGGAACACCAGUGGCGAAGGCGGUUCUCUGGGCCUUUCCUGACGCUGAGGAGCGAAAGCGUGGGGAGCGAACAGGCUUAGAUACCCUGGUAGUCCACGCUGUAAACGGUGGGUACUAGGUGUGGGGUCCAUUCCACGGGUUCCGUGCCGUAGCUAACGCUUUAAGUACCCCGCCUGGGGAGUACGGCCGCAAGGCUAAGACUCAAAGGAAUUGACGGGGCCCCGCAUAAGCGGCGGAGCAUGCGGAUUAAUUCGAUGCAACGCGUAGAACCUUACCUGGGUUUGACAUGGAUCGGGAGUGCUCAGAGAUGGGUGUGCCUCUUUUGGGGUCGGUUCACAGGUGGUGCAUGGCUGUCGUCAGCUCGUGUCGUGAGAUGUUGGGUUAAGUCCCGCAACGAGCGCAACCCUUGUUCACUGUUGCCAGCACGUUAUGGUGGGGACUCAGUGGAGACCGCCGGGGUCAACUCGGAGGAAGGUGGGGAUGACGUCAAGUCAUCAUGCCCCUUAUGUCCAGGGCUUCACGCAUGCUACAAUGGCUGGUACAGAGAGUGGCGAGCCUGUGAGGGUGAGCGAAUCUCGGAAAGCCGGUCUCAGUUCGGAUUGGGGUCUGCAACUCGACCUCAUGAAGUCGGAGUCACUAGUAAUCGCAGAUCAGCAACGCUGCGGUGAAUACGUUCCCGGG